Pieris brassicae (large cabbage white) is the source of this 702-nucleotide long non-coding RNA. RefSeq lists it as uncharacterized. The record is from RefSeq and is a predicted model, not a curated record. The transcript is spliced from 2 exons. NCBI's taxonomy places the organism in Eukaryota, Metazoa, Arthropoda, Insecta, Lepidoptera, Pieridae.
UAUACUUGUGAGAUAUGUAAAUAUGUUAAUACUAAAAAUGUAAAUAUACUUCAAUUUGCAGAUGAUUUAGUGUUGUAUAGUUCAGAUGUAAAUUUAACAGUAGCCAUUGAAAAUGUUAACACUGCCUUAAGACAGUUAAAUAAUUAUUAUCAACACACAUUAAAAUUGAAAAUAAAUGCUGGCAAAAGUAAUUUAAUGCUAUUUGGAAAGGACACACCAGUAGUGGAUGUUGUCUAUAAUGGUGAUGUCAUUCAAAGAGUCACCUCACACAAAUUUUUAGGUAUUAUCAUUGACCAGAAAUUGUCAUUUGAAGAACAUAUUAAAUAUGUAUCUAGAAAUGCAUUAAAUGGUGUUAACAUUUUAAGAUGUCUAGCAGGUGUUACAUGGGGUGCAGAUCCCAAAAUACUUUCAUUAUUAUAUAAAUCUAUUAACAGAGCUUUGAGGAUCAUAUCAGGAGCAAUGUGUUCGACUCCCAUAAGGGCCAUGGAAGUCGAAACAAAUAUUAUGCCAUUGAUAUUGAGACGACUUAUGCUUGCAGAAAGAUACUGCCUGAAACUAUUAUCAUCAAAUAAUAUCCAAAUUAUAAAUAGGAUAAUACCUCACCCAAUCAAUAUAGAUGGUCCACUCACUUCACCAAAUGAUCUCCUGAGAGGUACAUCUCCAACUCUGUGCCAGAUCUUCUUAGAAAUACAAUCUCAUUAU